GACGAACGCUGGCGGCGUGCUUAACACAUGCAAGUCGAGCGGAAAGGCCACUUCGGUGGUACUCGAGCGGCGAACGGGUGAGUAACACGUGAGUAAUCUGCCCCUCACUUUGGGAUAGCCACCGGAAACGGUGAUUAAUACCGGAUAUUACCAUAUGUCGCAUGGCGUGUGGUGGAAAGUUUUUCGGUGAGGGAUGUGCUCGCGGCCUAUCAGCUUGAUGGUGAGGUAAUGGCUCACCAUGGCUUCGACGGGUAGCCGGCCUGAGAGGGUGACCGGUCACACUGGGACUGAGACACGGCCCAGACUCCUACGGGAGGCAGCAGUGGGGAAUAUUGGACAAUGGGCGGAAGCCUGAUCCAGCAACGCCGCGUGAGGGAUGACGGCCUUCGGGUUGUAAACCUCUUUCAGUACCGACGAAGCGCAAGUGACGGUAGGUACAGAAGAAGCACCGGCCAACUACGUG
This 463-nucleotide ribosomal RNA is filed under the name uncultured bacterium. RNAcentral's name for it is "partial 16S ribosomal RNA". It matches the Rfam family "Bacterial small subunit ribosomal RNA", at positions 28 to 507 of the family's 1533-position model. The record is from RNAcentral.